This 341-nucleotide ribosomal RNA is filed under the name uncultured bacterium. Its description in RNAcentral is "bacterial SSU rRNA". It matches the Rfam family "Bacterial small subunit ribosomal RNA", at positions 29 to 366 of the family's 1533-position model. The record is from RNAcentral.
AUUGAACGCUGGCGGCAUGCCUUACACAUGCAAGUCGAACGGCAGCACGGGAGCAAUCCUGGUGGCGAGUGGCGAACGGGUGAGUAAUAUAUCGGAACGUGCCCAGUAGUGGGGGAGUAGCCCGGCGAAAGACCGGAUUAAUACCGCAUACGACCUACGGGUGGAAAGCGGGGAGUCGCAAGACCUCGCGCUAUUGGAGCGGCCGAUAUCAGAUUAGCUAGUUGGCGGGGUAAAAGGACCCACCAAGGCGACGAUCUGUAGCUGGUCUGAGAGGACGACCAGCCACACUGGGACUGAGACACGGCCCAGACUCCUACGGGAGGCAGCAGUGGGGAAGUUUU